RNAcentral lists this ribosomal RNA (468 nucleotides) under uncultured bacterium. RNAcentral describes it as "partial 16S ribosomal RNA". It matches the Rfam family "Bacterial small subunit ribosomal RNA", at positions 28 to 507 of the family's 1533-position model. The record is from RNAcentral.
GACGAACGCUGGCGGCGUGCUUAACACAUGCAAGUCGAACGGAAAGGCCCUGCUUUUGUGGGGUGCUCGAGUGUCGAACGGGUGAGUAACACGUGAGUAACCUGCCCUUGACUUUGGGAUAACUUCAAGAAACUGGGGCUAGUACCGGAUAGGAGGUCCUGCUGCAUGGUGGGGGUUGGAAAGUGUCGGCGGUUGGGGAUGGACUCGCGGCUUAUCAGCUUGUUGGUGGGGUGGUGGCUGACCAAGGCUUUGACGGGUAGCCGGCCGGAGAGGGUGACCGGCCGCAUUGGGACUGCGGUGAGGCCGCGACGACUACGGGAGGAAGCAGUGGGGAAUAUUGCACAGUGGGCGGCAGCAUGCUGAAGCAGCGCCGCGUGGGGGAUGAAGGACUUCGGGUUGUCAACCGCUUCCGCCUGCGACGAAGCGUGAGUGACGGUAAUGGGUAAAGAAGCACCGGCUAACUACGUG